RNAcentral lists this long non-coding RNA (283 nucleotides) under Nicotiana benthamiana. RNAcentral's name for it is "long non-coding RNA (NBEN_LNC015365)". The record is from RNAcentral. Lineage: Eukaryota; Viridiplantae; Streptophyta; Magnoliopsida; Solanales; Solanaceae.
AGAAUGAACUUUUAUACUAUAUCAUUCCAUCAAACAAGUAGGGAAAAACAAAUUAUUCCAACAUUUAAUACUCGUAAAAGUAGGUAGAAGGAAGACUUGCCUAGUACGAUUUAUCUUCCUCUCAGGUUCGCAAACUAUUACACAAAAGCGGGAUUUACCAUUUUCGUAGCAGAAGGACAGCGACGGCAGGAUCCCUUGUCAACCAAAAAAAAAGUAGACUGAAGAUCAAAAAUGGUCUUGAAUACAACAAAACUUUUAUUUUACAUCAAGAACAUAUAUCAUA